GUCCUUUUCUAUUAAUAUUAAGGCUGAGGAUCUUCGGCUCAUUUGGGCUUAUCAUCACGUCUAUUUGCAGAAUCAUACUUACUAGGUAUGCUUCCCAGUCAUACUUGAUGGGGAGGUUGAACAUUUUUCUAUGACUCCUCUCGCCCUUGCAAUAGUUGAACAACCCUUUCAGCCUGUCCUUCGACUCCAGAGCCCACCCAGUCUGUUUCAAGCAGCACUUGCUCCAACUCGUCACCCAUAUCAUCAUCCAGCUCGGAUAGCGCCAGAUAUAUCUCUUCAGAAGCCAUUGCACGUAUCUAUAAUCGCAUUAGAAUUAGGUUAAAAUCUACGACAUCGGGAUGAUGGACUUACCCGAGGGAAGCGGUGGGCAAGGAAUAACGGAACUAAGGAGGCGGCUUUUGAACGCACUUCCAAGGGAGCUGUCAGGCAAGCGAUAACACUGAAGGAUGCCAACAUUGUCAGCUAGGCUACAACCAAUUUAAAGCAGGAACACGCACACUCUCAUGGCGGCUGAUAUUCUCUCAAUAGACUUUAUGUUCCCCAGGCCUCUUGCUGCAGCGCCCAGAGACUUCAUAAGCCUGUAAAAGCUCCCUCAAUUUUCUCCCAUAUGUUGGCGGACAACAGCUUAUGCAGUGUUUGUAGCGUGGGUAUGAAUAUCCGGU
This 662-nucleotide small RNA is filed under the name Cryptococcus neoformans H99. RNAcentral describes it as "Cryptococcus neoformans var. grubii H99 hypothetical RNA". The record is from RNAcentral. Lineage: Eukaryota; Fungi; Basidiomycota; Tremellomycetes; Tremellales; Cryptococcaceae.